CAUGCAUAUAUAAAUACGGUAAAUCCUAUACUUAUGAUAUAGAGUUAUGCUUUGAUAACUCCACUGUAAAUUGGAAAAAUGGUAAGUCAGAAAUGAUUAACAAGGUAGUAAUUUGCAUCAGCAUAUCUACAUCUAUUUCUAAGCUGAAGCAGAAUUACUUGGUCAGUUUGAAUGGCCUUGUGAUAAAGCACUCAUCAUAUGAAAGAUCUGGAUUCAUUUGUGUGUUCAACAUCUCCAAUAUUUCACAGGGUCCAGACCUUGCCUUUGAAACUUCAUCCUUCAACUUUUUGAUUGACUCUAACAUGAAUGUUGGACCAUUUUUAGAGUGGACUUUAAAGUAUAAUUUUACAACUAAAAUUAAACCUAAUCAAAUUACUGGAUAAACAGUGUUUGUAUUCAAAUAGUGUAUAGCUAUACAUGAUGACAGCAUCAUAAGACAGUAUUGAGUCUAUAGGAGAGUCAAUGUUUAUUUAUAUCACUAUGCUGAUAAUAUAUUCCAUUAAAUUCUUUGUAAUCUUAUGGUAAAUUGCCAUAAAAUAAUGAGAUUUUUUUUAACAAAUAAGCU
RNAcentral lists this long non-coding RNA (565 nucleotides) under Androctonus crassicauda. The record is from RNAcentral. Lineage: Eukaryota; Metazoa; Arthropoda; Arachnida; Scorpiones; Buthidae.